UACGGAGGAUGCAAGCGUUAUCCGGAUUUAUUAGGUUUAAAGGGUGCGUAGGUGGGCGUUUAAGUCAGUGGUUAAAGCCAAUAGCUUAACUAUUGUAUGCCAUUGAAACUGGAUGUCUUGAAUAGGGUAGAGGUAGGCGGAAUGUGUUGUGUAGCGGUGAAAUGCUUAGAUAUAACACAGAACACCGAUUGCGAAGGCAGCUUACUAAUCCAUCAUUGACGCUGAGGCACGAAAGCGUGGGGAUCAAACAGGAUUAGAUACCCU
This 264-nucleotide ribosomal RNA is filed under the name uncultured prokaryote. RNAcentral's name for it is "partial 16S ribosomal RNA". It matches the Rfam family "Bacterial small subunit ribosomal RNA", at positions 524 to 788 of the family's 1533-position model. The record is from RNAcentral.